This 17-nucleotide transfer RNA is filed under the name Salmo salar (Atlantic salmon). Its description in RNAcentral is "partial tRNA-Gln". Lineage: Eukaryota; Metazoa; Chordata; Actinopteri; Salmoniformes; Salmonidae. The record is from RNAcentral.
GAGUCCCUUCUUUCUAG